AUUCCCUUCGGGGAAUAUCCAGUUGAAGGGAUACAGAGAUGCGCAUGGCCCCUUCCCAAGGAUGACACGCUGAGAUCGAGAAGUGUGCCAAAUCGAA
This 97-nucleotide small nuclear RNA is filed under the name Symbiodinium microadriaticum. The record is from RNAcentral. Lineage: Eukaryota; Dinophyceae; Suessiales; Symbiodiniaceae.